GCCAUUCUGAUCUUUCAAUCACUCAUGUCAGCUAGUCCCUAAAGUCCACUUACCAGAUCUCAGGUAGAGACAUCGGAUCUGAAAACUGCAAUCACUGGACCUUUGAGGGGCAAGGCAGGCAGGCACAGGCAGAGAAGUGUUCCAGCGAGGGGCCACCCACGUCUGGGUCUGUCUGGAUGUCCCAUUCACUCCCUGCUGCCCAGUGCCAUCCCAUGAGAAGAGGCAUUUCUACUGGGGUUAGUGAGCAGCUCUGACGACUGCUCCCAUUCCAUACAGCUGAAAGAAAAAAUAACAUCAUCCUAUCACACAAGAAUGGGACAUCAUGGAUAAGGUAUGUGUCCUAGAUAAGUGUCCUACCAACUACACCUCUAAACUCAGGAACAGGAGUUCUUGAGUUUCAUCGGAAAAUUUCUGCUGCAACACGGGCCUCCUGAGGUGGCUUGAGGACCCCAUGACAGAUGAGCAUCCAUGAGAUUAGCAGGAAUAAGGAAGAGAUGAGCUGGCUGUUGGCAAGUAUGUCUCAUCUCUCUAUCUCAAGUGAAGUCUUCGAGACAUUCUUCAUCCCUUCCCCGGGGAGCUAAGAAAUGACUGGACUCUCCUGUCUGUGUGUAGUUUAAUAUAAGUGCCCAUUAAAUUUCUUCUGCAAUUUAGGGAACUCUAUCUGAUUGGUUGUUUUGGUCAGCUUUAGGAUAUUGGUCUGAAAAAGGGCCAUAAAUUCUGUUUUCAAUUUUGUUUCUGUGCCUUUUAUGCUUUAAUAUGCCCCUGCAGACUUGCUGAGCCUGAUGCUCCAGCUGGGGAGAGAAAUGGUUCCAGAGAAGAGACAUCCAACCUCUGAAAGAAUUUCAACCCAAGCAAGAGUCUUGACCUUUAAAGACUUGAAGCCUAGUUGGGACCCAGCUAGUAGGUGGUGUUGUGUUGAAGGUUCACACGUCUCAUCCGACCCCCUUCUUCAGCAGAUUCCUUCUGCAUUCCCCUCAUCAGGGCUCACCCGACUCUAGCUGCAGGGUUUGACAUUUGAUUCAGAACAGGCCAUUAGAGAACUCACUUCCUUGGGAUGAGAAGGGACCACUGAAGCUGGGCCAAUCAUAGCCUUCCCUGGAGCUAUUGAGCAGCAGGCUGCCCAUCCCAUGGGUCCAGCUAUGCCUGCAGCCCAGGAUUCCCCUGGAAGUUCCCAUUACACAAGCCAGUAAGUCCCUCCUGGUUCCCCUCCCCCCUUUUUCCCACUGACAAGCAUUUUGAACUGGAGUGUCAUUGUUUGCAAUUGAAACAGUUAUGAAUGACACAAAUGGCACUUGUCCCUUUGAGUCCCAAAUCUAGGUGUGCAUCCAGUGUGCCUGGGAUAUCGCUGCUGUCCUCCACUCCCUCUUCUUCCAUGAAAAAAUGCUAAGUGGGCUGAACAGCUGCUGGCUUCCACCCUUGGCACUACACAUGCCAAGACCACCCAAGGACUGUCCUCCGUGCCCAGCCUGGGUGCUCUACUCGGAAAGGACUGCCUACUGUUGAGGAUGGCAGACAGAGAAGUGGAACUCCCAAGCCCCUUGGAGCCCAAAAGAUUACGAUUAAGUCCCAGACACUGGACACUAGCUUUUUACACUGUUUCAUGAGGGUUUUGCUUUGAUUGGCUCAUAACUGUAUCCUGGUUCUUUUCUCUAGAAGUAAGAAGGCAUUUAACUUUUUUUUUUGUUUUGUAGGAUCCCACAGUUAAGAGACUUUGGAUUUUAAAGAAAACUUGGACUUUGAAAGUGUUAAAAAAAUGUAAAACUGGGAUUUUUAACAUUGGACUGUGUUUUAUAUUGUGAUAUUAACAUGGGAUUUGGGGAAUAAGCAAGGAAGGAAAGGUUGUGGCUGAAUAGUGUAUGUUUGUGUGUGAAAGUUGAUAAGGGGUGAAUUAUCAUAGUUUUUGCCAACUCAACACAACACACCUGGAAAGAGGGAAUCUAAAUUGAGUAAUUGUCUUCAUCAGAUUGGCCUGUGGACAUGUCUGUGAGACAUUCACCUGAUUAAUGUUGAUAUGGGGAGGCCCAGCCAACUGGGGAUGGUGCCAUCUCCAGGCAGGUGGUCCAGGGUGUAUACAGAAGCAAACUGAUCAAGCCACGGGGAGCAAGCCAGUAAGCAGCACUCCUCUAUGGUCUCUGUGUCAGUUCCUGCCUCCAAGUUCCUGCCUUGAGUUCCUGUCCUGACUUCCCUCAGUGAUGAACUGUUUGUUACCUGGAUUUGUAAAACAGAAUAAACCCUUUUCUCUCCAAGUUGCUUUUCAUCAUUGUGUUUAUCACAGUAACAGAAAACCAAGUUUGUUUUCUAAAGACCUCCCUUAGAGAUCUAUGGAAACUAAAUGGGAAGCGGAAGAGAACACGAAAGUUCAAACCUGACAAGCCUUCAGAUGUGUCUCUCAAGUUCAAAGAGCUCUAGCCCGGGAGGUUUGGUUGCUUUGGAUGCCAAUACUUAACCUAUUGUUGCUGCUUUGGGAGGCUCACCACCCAGCUCCCAAAUAAAUCACACAUGGAGGCUUGUUCUUACUUAUAAAUGCCUGGCCUUAGCUUGGCUUGUUUCUUGCCAGCUUUCCUUCAUUUAAAAUUAUCCCCAUCUGCCUUUUGCCUCUGGGCUUUUCCCAUUCUUUUACUGUAAUCUUACUUUCACUCUUACUCUGUGGCUGGCUGUGUAGCUGGGUGGCUGGCCCCUGAUGUCCUCCUCCUUCUCUCGCUCCUAAAUCUUCCUCUCCUCCCAGAUUUUUCUUUCUAUAUAUUCUCUCUGCCUGCCAGCAACCCCAUCUCUCUUUCCUGCCUUGCUAUUGGCCAUUAGCUCUUUAUUAGACCACCAGGCAUUUUAGACAGGGACAGUAACACAGCUUCACAGAGUUAAACAAAUGCAACAUAAACAAAAGCAACACACCUUAAAAUAAUAUUCUACGGCACUAUACUCCUCAUAACGAACUGGAAUGUGGCUGCCCACAGCCUGUGAAUGUCAGUCCCUUCUCUACUCUGGAUCUUCUUGUAUCCUUGGUUUUCCCUAAACUGCUUCCAGCCUGAUCAUGCUCUGUGGUGUUCUUGUGCAUGUGGCCUCUGCAUCACUCAGCAAAAAUAAUCAAGUCCACACACAGAAGGGAUUCAUGAAGUUCUCAUAGGACCCUGAUUCAUUCCCGCAAGCAUGGUUGUUAUAAAGUUAAUAGGCCUGACCUGAACUCCUUCUACAAGAGGACCCCUCAUUGUCACAAAAUUAUCCAUGGAUUCAAAGGACUGAGUAGUGGUGACAAAUGGGUCACAGCUAAUGAAGACAGGGUCCCAGUGGGAGUGGGCUGAGGUACAUGUCCAGUGGCCAUUUUUUUCUCAUCCUAUCUUCUUUGGAGAUGCAUUUUUCCAUCUGGAAAGUCAAAGCAGUGUCUCCCACGAAGCUAGAGUCAGUAAAGGUGUGGCAAGGGAGGGGAGGCCGAGGCCUCGCUUCUGUUGUUCCCAUUUGCUCACCGGUGGGCACAGUGGAGGAGGCGGGUCAUCUUUUUUUGCAGCAAUGAAACUGAUGUACUUGUGUUUGCAAGAGUCAGGAGAGGAAGCAUGUCACCGGUGUGGACUAUAACAGGG
Molecule: long non-coding RNA, 3572 nt
Organism: Peromyscus californicus insignis
Lineage: Eukaryota; Metazoa; Chordata; Mammalia; Rodentia; Cricetidae
Exons: 3
Source: RefSeq, a predicted model, not a curated record